GGCCCUACGGGGCGCAGCAGGCGCGAAACCUCCGCAAUGCACGCAAGUGCGACGGGGGAACCCCAAGUGCCACUCUUAACGGGGUGGCUUUUCAGAAGUGUAAAAAGCUUCUGGAAUAAGGGCUGGGCAAGACCGGUGCCAGCCGCCGCGGUAACACCGGCAGCUUAAGUGGUAGCCGCUUUUAUUGGGCCUAAAGCGUCCGUAGCCGGUCUGAUAAGUCUCUGGUGAAAUCCCGCAGCUUAACUGUGGGAAUUGCUGGAGAUACUAUCAUGACUCGAGGUCGGGAGAGGCUGGAGGUACUCCCAGGGUAGGGGUGAAAUCCUGUAAUCCUGGGAGGACCACCUGUGGCGAAGGCGUCCAGCUGGAACGAACCUGACGGUGAGGGACGAAAGCCAGGGGCGCGAACCGGAUUAGAUACCCGGGUAGUCCUGGCCAUAAACGAUGUGGACUUGGUGUUGGGAUGGCUUCGAGCUGCCCCAGUGCCGAAGGGAAGCUGUUAAGUCCACCGCCUGGGAAGUACGGCCGCAAGGCUGAAACUUAAAGGAAUUGGCGGGGGAGCACCACAACGCGUGGAGCCUGCGGUUUAAUUGGAUUCAACGCCGGG
This 604-nucleotide ribosomal RNA is filed under the name uncultured Methanobacteriales archaeon. RNAcentral describes it as "bacterial SSU rRNA". It matches the Rfam family "Archaeal small subunit ribosomal RNA", at positions 319 to 922 of the family's 1478-position model. Lineage: Archaea; Methanobacteriati; Methanobacteriota; Methanobacteria; Methanobacteriales. The record is from RNAcentral.